Molecule: ribosomal RNA, 501 nt
Filed under: Diaporthe endophytica
Lineage: Eukaryota; Fungi; Ascomycota; Sordariomycetes; Diaporthales; Diaporthaceae
Description: eukaryotic LSU rRNA
Rfam family: 5.8S ribosomal RNA (bases 161-314)
Source: RNAcentral
GGCGCACCCAGAAACCCUUUGUGAACUUAUACCUAUUGUUGCCUCGGCGCAGGCCGGCCUCUUCACUGAGGCCCCCUGGAAACAGGGAGCAGCCCGCCGGCGGCCAACCAAACUCUUGUUUCUAUAGUGAAUCUCUGAGUAAAAAACAUAAAUGAAUCAAAACUUUCAACAACGGAUCUCUUGGUUCUGGCAUCGAUGAAGAACGCAGCGAAAUGCGAUAAGUAAUGUGAAUUGCAGAAUUCAGUGAAUCAUCGAAUCUUUGAACGCACAUUGCGCCCUCUGGUAUUCCGGAGGGCAUGCCUGUUCGAGCGUCAUUUCAACCCUCAAGCCUGGCUUGGUGAUGGGGCACUGCCUGUAAAAGGGCAGGCCCUGAAAUCUAGUGGCGAGCUCGCCAGGACCCCGAGCGUAGUAGUUAUAUCUCGCUCUGGAAGGCCCUGGCGGUGCCCUGCCGUUAAACCCCCAACUUCUGAAAAUUUGACCUCGGAUCAGGUAGGAAUACCC